Molecule: long non-coding RNA, 1341 nt
Organism: Chinchilla lanigera (long-tailed chinchilla)
Lineage: Eukaryota; Metazoa; Chordata; Mammalia; Rodentia; Chinchillidae
Exons: 3
Source: RefSeq, a predicted model, not a curated record
UAGGGGAUUCUGGGACGCCUCUCCUGACUCCAGAUGACCUAGGCCCAGGUUGGGGUGUGUGUAUUCACAUAUCGUGUGACCUGUGUUCUUUUGUGAACUCCCUGGGGAAGCAGCCCCACCAGGACCCUGGUCAACAGGCCCGGAAGUGGAGUCCAGUCCAGAGGAGGUGAGUGCUGGAGGCUGUGUUCUGGGAGGCUAGCCUGUUAUCGCUGCAAAUAUCUCCAGCUGGAGUCCUCCAACAUGCCAGCCCGGAAGCUCGUCUUCCUCACUAAAGGAAUGCUCUGUGCAGUGGGCAUGGCUCUCGUCUUCCUCCAAGAGGUGUUUGGACAAAGCGUUUUGUUUGGUUUCUGGUACUUCCCGAGCAUGUAAGGAAUGUGAACAUCCUAGAACUGCAUCCUCAGCUUCUUUUCCUCCAGGUACUCGUCUUGGUGCUUUACGGGGUGACGAGGCAGCUCUGUGGGUGUUCUUAUCACUCCACAUCAGAGGCAAGCAAGCAGAGGUACUGAGACGUGCAUCAAAGCAGGCUGGCUCUACACCUCUCCCUUAACCACAGUGCUGAGCCGCCUCACACCACAGCCAGGCGCAAGGCUGGGAAGACGGCAAGCCUGCAUUCGGUGCUGCUCCUCUUUCAGAGACCCAGAUGACGGCUUCCUCGGGAUUUUUGCCAGUUUGUGAAGACUCAGCACCAGUGCUUCCCUUUGUCCACCUAGGUACAAGGCUCCGCGUGUCCUGGGCCCCUCAGAACACUGAGGAAGCUAUCUGACUGGAAUGAGUGGAAGAAGAACACUUAGGUGCCUCGGCCUCUCAAGUCUACUUGCUCACCCUACAGCCCUUAGCAUUGUCUCUUCCCGCCCACAUUUCCCACUCCAUCACCUCCCUUCUCUGCGGCCCUGUGGCCUCAUCCUGUCACAAGAGAGGGAGCGAAGCCCUCUGCCUCCUGCCUCAGUGGGUGUGAAGGAGUUUAUACUAAGAAAGGGCACGCUUUCCAUCGAGGUACCUCCUGCUGAGCCAAGCUCCCCCAUAAAAAGUGCCUUUUCCCCCUGUUGGGGAAGUACAAGUGCAGGCCAAGGAGCACAGGGCUGUGUCCCUGCAGCCCCACUGUCCACGGCCCACUGCCUUGUUAGCAAGACAGCCACAGCUGCUUCACCUGAGCUCAGCCCUUCUGGUGUAGGAGGCUGGGCGGAGCCACGCCUCCCUCACACACAGCAGCCAGGGGCUGACUUUGACACCCUGGGAGCUGUGUUUUCCAGUGAAGCCUGAAAAAAUCUGCUCAAGUCUCCAAACUGCAUGCAUCCCCUUGAGGUUGAAGGAUGAUAUAUUGAUAAGAUUUUACAAAUAAAG